GACGAACGCUGGCGGCGUGCUUAACACAUGCAAGUCGAACGGAAAGGCCCUGCUUUUGUGGGGUGCUCGAGUGGCGAACGGGUGAGUAACACGUGAGUAACCUGCCCUUGACUUUGGGAUAACUUCAGGAAACUGGGGCUAAUACCGGAUAGGAGCUCCUGCUGCAUGGUGGGGGUUGGAAAGUUUCGGCGGUUAGGGAUGGACUCGCGGCUUAUCAGCUUGUUGGUGGGGUAGUGGCUUACCAAGGCUUUGACGGGUAGCCGGCCUGAGAGGGUGACCGGCCACAUUGGGACUGAGAUACGGCCCAGACUCCUACGGGAGGCAGCAGUGGGGAAUAUUGCACAAUGGGCGGAAGCCUGAUGCAGCAACGCCGCGUGCGGGAUGACGGCCUUCGGGUUGUAAACCGCUUUCGCCUGUGACGAAGCGUGAGUGACGGUAAUGGGUAAAGAAGCACCGGCUAACGACGUG
Molecule: ribosomal RNA, 468 nt
Filed under: uncultured bacterium
Lineage: Bacteria
Description: partial 16S ribosomal RNA
Rfam family: Bacterial small subunit ribosomal RNA
Source: RNAcentral